AUGCAACUGACGCUGAAGCGCGAAAGUGUGGGGAGCAAACAGGAUUAGAUACCCUGGUAGUCCACACUGUAAACGAUGAAUGCUAGGUGUAAGAGGUAUCGACCCCUUUUGUGCCGGAGUUAACACAAUAAGCAUUCCGCCUGGGGAGUACGGCCGCAAGGUUGAAACUCAAAGGAAUUGACGGGGGCCCGCACAAGCAGCGGAGCAUGUGGUUUAAUUCGACGCAACGCGAAGAACCUUACCAGGUCUUGACAUCCACUUAAAGCGGUAGAGAUACCGUGUGUGCUUGCACGAAGUGAGACAGGUGGUGCAUGGUUGUCGUCAGCUCGUGUCGUGAGAUGUUGGGUUAAGUCCCGCAACGAGCGCAACCCUUGCUGAUAGUUACUAACGAGUAAAGUUGAGGACUCUAUCAGGACUGCCGGGGACAACUCGGAGGAAGGUGGGGACGACGUCAAAUCAUCAUGCCCCUUAUGACCUGGGCUACACACGUGCUACAAUGGCCGUUACAGAGAGGAGCGAAGGAGCAAUCCGGAGCAGAUCUCAAAAAAGCGGUCCCAGUUCGGAUUGUGGGCUGCAACCCGCCCACAUGAAGUCGGAGUG
RNAcentral lists this ribosomal RNA (600 nucleotides) under uncultured bacterium. RNAcentral's name for it is "bacterial SSU rRNA". It matches the Rfam family "Bacterial small subunit ribosomal RNA", at positions 734 to 1333 of the family's 1533-position model. The record is from RNAcentral.